UGCGCAGGCGGAUUGUUAAGCAAGACGUGAAAUCCCCGGGCUUAACCUGGGAAUGGCGUUUUGAACUGGCAGUCUAGAGUGCGUCAGAGGGGGUGGAAUUCCACGUGUAGCAGUGAAAUGCGUAGAGAUGUGGAGGAACACCGAUGGCGAAGGCAGCCCCCUCGGGAUGACACUGACGCUCAUGUACGAAAGCGUGGGUAGCAAACA
This 207-nucleotide ribosomal RNA is filed under the name uncultured Thiobacillus sp. RNAcentral describes it as "partial 16S ribosomal RNA". It matches the Rfam family "Bacterial small subunit ribosomal RNA", at positions 568 to 774 of the family's 1533-position model. Lineage: Bacteria; Pseudomonadati; Pseudomonadota; Betaproteobacteria; Nitrosomonadales; Thiobacillaceae. The record is from RNAcentral.